RNAcentral lists this long non-coding RNA (254 nucleotides) under Pan troglodytes (chimpanzee). RNAcentral's name for it is "long non-coding RNA NONPTRT001379". The record is from RNAcentral. Lineage: Eukaryota; Metazoa; Chordata; Mammalia; Primates; Hominidae.
CGCGUGAACUGUUCACACCACCAAAAAUGGCAAAAGAAAGCAGUAUAGAGAUUUAUUCUCCCACUGGCAUGAAAGCUGUGAUUCUGACCACCUUCUACAUCACUGUCUACCACCCCUACACCAGCUCUUAGAAGACAGAGUAACUGCAGGAUGCUGUGGUACCUGGAGUGAUGCCAGACUGCAGAGGCCACCUGGUGACAUGAGGAGAGAUUCAACUUAACAUGCCUACUCAACAUGAAGACGAGUGAAGACCU